This 565-nucleotide ribosomal RNA is filed under the name uncultured archaeon. Its description in RNAcentral is "bacterial SSU rRNA". It matches the Rfam family "Archaeal small subunit ribosomal RNA", at positions 311 to 879 of the family's 1478-position model. The record is from RNAcentral.
GGGAAUUCGAUUCGGGGUGCAGCAGGCGCGAAAACUCCGCAAUACGCGCAAGCGUGACGGGGGAACCCCAAGUGCCUCAUCUUUUUGGUGAGGCUUUUUCAGAGUGUAAACAGCUCUGAGAAUAAAAGCGGGGUAAGACCGGUGCCAGCCGCCGCGGUAACACCGGCCGCUCAAGUGGUGACCACUAUUAUUGGGCCUAAAGCGUCCGUAGCCGGUUCGGUAAGUCCUUGGGUAAAUCCUGCCGUUUAACGGUAGGAAUUCUGGGGAUACUGCCGGACUCGGGGUCGAGAGAAGUCGGAGGUACUCCGGGGGUAGCGGUGAAAUGCUGUAAUCCUCGGGGGACCACCAGUGGCGAAGGCGUCCGACUAGAGCGGGCCCGACGGUGAGGGACGAAAGCCAGGGGAGCGAACGGGAUUAGAUACCCCGGUAGUCCUGGCCGUAAACGCUGUGGGCUAGGUGUUGCAUGCUCUACGAGGGCAUGCAGUGCCGUAGAGAAGUUGAUAAGCCUACCGCCUGGGAAGUACUACCGCAAGGUAGAAACUUAAAGGAAUUGGCGGGGGAGCAC